Molecule: ribosomal RNA, 253 nt
Filed under: uncultured bacterium
Lineage: Bacteria
Description: partial 16S ribosomal RNA
Rfam family: Bacterial small subunit ribosomal RNA
Source: RNAcentral
UACGUAGGGGGCAAGCGUUGUCCGGAUUUAUUGGGCGUAAAGAGCGUGUAGGCGGUUUGGUAGGUCCGCUGUGAAAACUCGAGGCUCAACCUCGAGACGCCGGUGGAAACCAUCAGACUAGAGUCCGGAAGAGGAGAGUGGAAUUCCUGGUGUAGCGGUGAAAUGCGCAGAUAUCAGGAGGAACACCGAUGGCGAAGGCAGGUCACUGGGCCGCAACUGACGCUGAGGAGCGAAAGCAUGGGGAGCGAACAGG